AACAGUUACCUGUACCUGUACUGCUCGGUUGGGGUACCGUCUCCAGGGACACCCUGUCCAAACCCCCGACGCCGCCAUGUUCUCCUCCCACCCAUCACCGACUCGCCGUCAUCUCCCCACCGUCGUGAUUUGCCGUUCGAUUAGCGCGCAAAGCGCGGUCAACUGUGCUUAUAUAGAUCCGCCGGCCAUGCCUCCGAGCAGAACACACAUCUGCCACACUUCACUCGCGAGCUAGAGCGACCCAUGGCGUCGCGUAUCCGCGCGCCACAGCGCUUCUCCUCCUCGCGCUCUCCUCCUGCUGCUGCUAGUGCUCCCCCUCGCCAAUGCGCACCCCAUGAC
This 339-nucleotide long non-coding RNA is filed under the name Setaria italica (foxtail millet). RNAcentral's name for it is "long non-coding RNA (SITA_LNC004721)". Lineage: Eukaryota; Viridiplantae; Streptophyta; Magnoliopsida; Poales; Poaceae. The record is from RNAcentral.